CCGUAAUACGAUGUCUAUCUAGAACUUGUGGGGAGUUCUGAUACUUUCACGAUCGGAAGCAAAAGUGUUAAGGUAGACCACCUGGGAAUCUACGGCCGCAAGGUCUAAAAACUCAAAGGAAUUGACGGGGGCUUCACACAAGCGGUGGAGCAUGUGGAUCAAUUCGAAGCAAAGCGAAGAACCUUACCUGGGUUUGACAUGCUUGUAUGCCUGCCCGGAAACGGACCAGGCUGCCCUUCGGGGUGAAACUUGCACAGGUGCUGCAUGGCUGUCGUCAGCUCGUGUCGUGANAUGUCGGGUUAAGUCCCUCAACGAGCGAAACCCUUACCGUUAGUUGCCAGCGGGUAAUGCCGGGGACUCUAACGGGACUGCCGGUGUAAAACCGGAGGAAGGCGGGGAUAACGUCAAGUCAUCAUGGCCUUUAUGUCCAGGGCUUCACACGUGCUACAAUGGCGAGUACAAAGCGAAGCAAAACCGCGAGGUCGAGCCCCUGGCAAAAAAGUCGCCUCAGUUCGGAUUGUUGGCUGUCAANUCGCCUGCAUGAAGUUGG
This 550-nucleotide ribosomal RNA is filed under the name uncultured bacterium. RNAcentral describes it as "bacterial SSU rRNA". It matches the Rfam family "Bacterial small subunit ribosomal RNA", at positions 800 to 1329 of the family's 1533-position model. The record is from RNAcentral.